GAGGCUUUUUGGGAGCUCACUGGCUUCGGGUUCCGUAUAAACUCUGAAGUUAAGCGAGUAGCGCACGAGAGCAGUCCCAUGAUGGGUGACCCACAGGGAAGUUCUCGUGUGAGUUUCCAAAAACAAAAUCGUGAGGGUGUAGUCGGGGCCCAAAGCGGACAAUAUCGUGCUACGGUGGUGAAGCGGGCCCGGGAUGUGGUAGACCCCGGGCCAGGAUGUGACAAUUUGGUAUCAGAGCCUAACCUUGGCUGUGGUGUGCCGACGAGGACGUCGGGCCCCUAAGGGGGGUGGAUUGUAAGAUCCCACAUCACCUAGGGGAAUGAUCCUUAAAUGUAUAUUCCCAUCCCUACCUAACACGAGGCUUUUUGGGAGCUCAUUGGCUUCGGGUUCCGUAGGAAUUCCAAAGUUAAGCGAGUAACGCACGAGAGCAGUCCCAUGAUGGGUGACCCACUGGGAAGUUCUCGUGUGAAUUCCC
RNAcentral lists this small RNA (475 nucleotides) under Malus domestica (apple). The record is from RNAcentral. Lineage: Eukaryota; Viridiplantae; Streptophyta; Magnoliopsida; Rosales; Rosaceae.